GUGGGUUUAGCUCAGUAGUAGAGCACAUGCUUAGCAUGCACGAGGUCCUGGGUUCAAUCCCCAGUACCUCCA
RNAcentral lists this transfer RNA (72 nucleotides) under Camelus bactrianus (Bactrian camel). It matches the Rfam family "tRNA". From Rfam's summary of the family: Transfer RNA (tRNA) molecules are approximately 80 nucleotides in length. Lineage: Eukaryota; Metazoa; Chordata; Mammalia; Artiodactyla; Camelidae. The record is from Rfam by way of RNAcentral. RNAcentral also lists the same sequence under 2 other names.